This 1951-nucleotide long non-coding RNA is filed under the name Papio anubis (olive baboon). RNAcentral describes it as "lncRNA (ENSPANG00000045918.1)". Lineage: Eukaryota; Metazoa; Chordata; Mammalia; Primates; Cercopithecidae. The record is from RNAcentral.
UAAGCCAGUCGCAAAAGGACAAAUACUGCAUGACUCCACUUACAGGAGACUUACAGGAGGUCCCUAGAGUAGUCAAACUGAUAAAGACAGAAAGUAGAAGGGUGGUCACCAGGGGUGUGGGGAGGGGCGAUGGGGAGUUAGUGUUUGAUGGGUAUAAGGUUUCAGUUUGGGAAAAUCAUAAAGCUCUGUGGCUGGAUGGUGGUGAUAUUUAUACAACGUCAUGAAUCUACUCAGUAUCACUGAACUGCACAUUUGAAAUGGUUAACAUGGGAAAGUGUAUGUUUUGCAUAUUUUUACACACACAGAGGAAAGUUCACUUUGGCUGCAGGAUGGAGAUGGGCUACUGCAGGUGCAUGGUGACCCAGACCCCGGCAAGGGGAGCAGCUUCCAAAGGCUGCCUGCACUCCUUGGCUCGUGGCACCUUCUUCCAUCUUCCAGGCCAGCAGCACAGCAUCCUCCAGCCUCUCUCUGCUUCCAUUAUCACAUUGCCUUCUUCUUUCUGUUGUGAGAUCUCCCUCUGGCUACCUCUUGUUAAGACCCUUGAACAUUUAGGGCCCACCCAGAUAACCCAGAUCAUCUCUCCAUCUCAAGGUUCUUAAGCACAUCUGUGAAGUCCCUUUUGUUACAUAAGGUGACAUAUUUACAGGGAACAGGGAUUUGGACCUAGACAGUUUUGGGGGCAUUAUGUAGCCUCCUACAGCUACCAACAAUUCCUCCUGUCCCUGUGUGCACAUGCCACUCUUCCCAUUGGAAGUGGAGUCUAUUUCCUCUCCUCUUAAAUCUGGGCUGGCCUGGGAUUUGUCUGACACUAUUCCAGUCUUGGGCUAGGCAGUAGCUUCUGCCUUUACUAUUUUGGAUUCUUAGAGGUGGCAUGUAAAGAGAUCUGACAACUCUGAUGGAAAGAGGAAUAGUUGGGAGGUCACUGAAGGGUAGGGAGAGAGAGAGGGGUGCCCAGCCAGACCCCAGUUUUCCAGCCCCACCAGCCAUGACAGCAAGCAUGGGAGUGAAGCCAUCUCGGAUCCUCUAGCCCUAGCUGAGUCACCCCAGCUGACACUGUGUGGAGCAGAGAUGAACCAUCCCAGCUGAGCCCUGCCCAGGUUUCUGACACACAAAGUGUGAGGCUCUUAUUUCAAGCCACUAACAGUAUAAUCACCAGCUGCAGGGAGGGUGCUUUGAGAGCAAGGAAUAGGCUGCCUGCUUUGGAGCAGUCAGUGGGGAACAGGAGCUGCUACAGGCAACCUGGGUGUCCCUGGGUAGUCUCAAGGUGGUAACGCACCCUUUCUGAGCCUUGUUUCCCCCAGAGAGGUGGACUAAAGGCUCCUGAGGACAUUUCAGUAUGCUGCCGGCCUCUGGAGUCUCUCUGUGGCUGCCCUGGACUCCCAGGGUGUGUGGGUCCCGAGGACUCCAACAAUUCCAUUUAAGGUGUUUUGUGCCAGUUCUUAGAGCAUUAGCAUCUUGGCCAGGUUUCGUGAGGAGUAAUUCUCUGGGGUCCUUGUAUCAGUCAGGAUUCAACCAGAGAAUAAACAAAUGGGAGGCAGAUAUUGAGGGAUUUAUUGGGAGGAGUUGGCUUAGGUGACCGUAGGGCCUGGCCAGGUAAGUCUGGAAUCCAUGGAGAGAUGGUGAGGACAGGCUGGGUCUCUCAGGCACCUCUCAGGCCGCUGUCACAGGAGGAAUUUCUUCUUCUGCAGGGAGCCCCAGCCCAGUUCUAAGCCCUUUCCACUGAUGGAUUGGAUCAGGUCCAUCCGGGACAUCCUAGAUAUUUCUCCUUUACCUGACGUCAUGGGCUUUAAUCACAUCCACCAAAUGCCAUCACAGCAAUACCUAGAUGAGUAUUCAGGUGAAUAAGAGGACUGAGGCUUCAGCAGGUUAGCAAUUCAAAUUGCCUUCAAAUUGUCCUUCACAGUCUUCCUUUGAACAUAUGCCCCCCAAAUCCUAGGAGAGUGAAGGUGGC